This 577-nucleotide long non-coding RNA is filed under the name Rattus norvegicus (Norway rat). RNAcentral describes it as "long non-coding RNA NONRATT028609". The record is from RNAcentral. Lineage: Eukaryota; Metazoa; Chordata; Mammalia; Rodentia; Muridae.
UUUAGCUGAGACCCGAAUCAGGUUGAACCAGGCUCUCUGUUCCUCCCACCUCACAAGACCCGUUCACCUCUGACCAAGUUCCUCUGUCUCUCAGGGGGCAAAGGCUAUGGGCCAGAGCGUGGAGAGGAAGAUUUUGCUGCCUUUCGAGCCUGGCUUCGGUGCUAUGCUGUGCCAGGCAUGAGCUCCCUGAGAGACCGGCAUGGCCGUACCAUUUGGUUCCAGGGUGAUCCUGGACCCUUGGCACCCAAAGGUAAGUAGCUCAUAAUGUAAGAGAUAAAGAGCUGAGAAAACCAUGGGCCUUGGAUACUCAUUCUCCCAUCCCUCUCCAACCGUGGGAUCACCCAGCAGUAAUAGUCUGAGGGGCUGAAGCCCUAGGGCUCGCUAGCUCCAGUAGAACAUUCUACAGGGGGCAGAUCCCGAAAAAAGAAGUCACAGGAAACACAGCUGGAGGCUGAGGACAGAAAAGAGGACCCUCCAAGCAAGUCCAUUUCCAGGACUCAGAGGGCCAGGAAGCACUGUCCUAAGAAUGUACCUCAACAGUCUGAAGGGGCCAGCCUCCCACAAAACCUGGAAACCC